GACGAACCGAGCGAACGUUGUUCGGAAUCACUGGGCUUAAAGGGCGCGUAGGCGGCCUGCCAAGUCAGGAGUGAAAUCUUUCGGCUCAACCGGAAAAGUGCUUUUGAUACUGGCGGGCUAGAGGGAGAUAGGGGCAUGUGGAACUUCCGGUGGAGCGGUGAAAUGCGUUGAUAUCGGAAGGAACGCCGGUGGCGAAAGCGGAUCUCUGGGCCGAUACUGACGCUGAGGAGCGAAAGCGUGGGGAGCGAACAGG
RNAcentral lists this ribosomal RNA (253 nucleotides) under uncultured bacterium. Its description in RNAcentral is "partial 16S ribosomal RNA". It matches the Rfam family "Bacterial small subunit ribosomal RNA", at positions 524 to 776 of the family's 1533-position model. The record is from RNAcentral.